GGGAAGGUUUGGGUUGGGUUGGGUUGGGUUGGGUUGGGUUGGGUUGUGUGUGCCACUGUGAACAAAUGUGGAGUGCUUAAUUUGGCUCUCCCAUUUUUUCUCUUUUUAUUAUAUAAAAUUUCUUUGGAUUUGGAAAACAUUUUUCAUCUCCGUUGGAGCAACUUGGGCAAUAGCCCAUGUUUCGGGUUCAGGAAGGGGAAGAAGCUCAAGAGAACACAGACAAGAGAAAGAGGUCGUGAAAGACGACAAUGCGCAAGCCUGAGGAGAAUGUGGCUCAAUUGUCUUCUGGUCAGUUGAUACGAUUCUCUCUCUCUCUCUCUCUCUCUCUCUCUCUCUCUCUCUCUCUCUCUCUUUAUUUUCCAUUGGAACACCAGUUUGAGAAUGCUAUCAGUUUGUUUCCCGCCAUUAAACUUCAGAGUCAAGACAGUGUUCUUGAUUCUUUUGUGUUGUUUUGUGAUUUGGGUGGUGCUAUAAUAUCGUAAUCAGUUGGCUUUUUAGAUUUUGCGCCUUUAGCUCAUCGCGGGUACUAUAACUGAAUGCGAUCAUGUUCUUGGAGUUUCUUGUUUUCUCAAUUUGGGAUUUUUGUUUUUCAAAUUUACCAGUAACCACCUUCUGUUAUCUGGUUUCAAUUGAAAAUGACAUCUUUUCUGAAAUCCCAAGUUUCAAUCUUUUCUGAAAAUAUUAAAAAUAUGGAUUAGAACAAGUGUGCAAAAAUAUUCAAGAUUGACACUUGUUAAGGGUUUUAUACUUUUCAGCUGGGCUUGUCUAGGAUCAUGACAAAGCUAGCCAUAGUUUCAAGGUUACUCACUGCCAGUACCUAAAUAGGAUAAUGAAAUGACAGCAGGGACUAUUGGAGAACUCAUAUCAACGCUAAAUCUUAGCCAAGCUGUUUACAGUUGCAAUGUAUUUCUAGGAGAAUUGCUUCACGUAUCUCCAUACUCUAUAGUACUGCUUGUGCUUGGGAGCCUAUGACAACUUGGGCUGAUCUGUCUGAUGUGAAUUAGCAACAAUAAUGGUGAGGGAGGAGCUUUCCAUCCUUUGGUUAGCUAACAAAGGUAAGCAGGCAACUCUUGACAGAAUCCUUGUCUAGCACUUAGGAGCACUUGUAUAGACUCCAUAGGCUAUUAGAUUGUGUGUUUUGUGUCAGAUUUUGCUGGAAUCUCAUGAGCACUAAUUCUUUGAUUGCUCCUUUUGUGAUGAUGAUAUAUAGGACUCUAGAGUGCGUGGUGAAUAUGGGAUCAUUUCUGGUCUCAUCUUUGUUAAUUGGGCUGCUGUGCUGCUCAAUGGAAAGGUAAACAAGUGCAUUAUGUUAUGUAGUAAAAAAGGCUUUGCCUGGCUGGCUGGGAUUGUGGAUCAUAUCUGGAGGUGGAGAAAUUAUAGGAUUUUGGGAAUGAGAGCAAAGCUUCUCACGGCUGUGCUGUGUUCGACUUGUAAUAUUUCGAGUCUUGCUGUGGAUGGCCAAAGCUUGUGCUGCUCAAAUUGUGUGAGCCAUUUAUGCAGUAAUCUUCCUGUAAUUUUGAAAGCUGCUGGAUUCUUCCUUUGUGUCUGUUCAAAUUGUGUUGCCCUCUGCUCUGUGCAAGGCUUUGCACUGUGUCUGUUCUGUUGUGUAUACUAUUACUACUUAAUUAAUACUUAUAGUGGAAGUGGUUAUUGACGCUGUCAGUUAUUUCUGUUUUGUUACUUAGACCUUGUAUUAUAUUAAGAAAAGGCACAUAGUCUCAUUUGCAAUUUGCAAUUGGCACGAGAGGGGAAUGCAUAUCAUGUAUUAAUUUGCACAACUGACUAGGCUUUUUUUGCCUAUUAAAGUUACCAUACCAACCCAAUAGCGACUUUUUUGAAUUUACCAAUUCAAUUCCAUUCCUGAAUCUAAUCUCGCGUGCAUCCCUCAGUUUCAUGUCUAAAAUAUUUUUAAUUCCUUACCUUCUUUAAUCCAUGAGGUCAAACUCCUUGCGCUGCUCCCACCGAUGACAGUCAACAACUCCCUUCUCUCCUCCCUCAUCUUCCUCCCUCCCUCUUACCAAGCUCACUGAGGUUUGAUGUCCCAUCCCGAGGCUGAUUAUAUAAGUGAACAUAUGCUUCUGUUAAAGUGAAUUAAGUAUCAAUAAUAAGAAGAGUAAUGAGAGGGCAACAAUGCUGUAUAGUUUGAAAUCUCAAGGAUUGCCUUUAUUUCUAUUUCCCGAGUCCAAAAAAACAUUGCACGCAAUAUGAUUUCUAAUUAUCUUUCUUGAUCCUUUUCCAGGUUUUGGUUGAUGUACAUGCAGACCCCAACUUUCUGGUGGCAUAUGGUAAUGCUCAAUUGUUUGACCCAAUUCCUUUUCGGAUUUAAAUUUCUAUUCCACUGCUGUUGUCCAUAAAGCUGCAUUUUGAGGCACUAUAAUCAGCUUCUCUAUUUAUGUUGCCACAGAAUCUCUUUUUAUGUUGCUAAUUGGGUCUGCUUGGUUGUUAACCUUUGUGCAGGAUCAAUUAGUCUGUAACAGGAAUGGUUCUCGAUUCAAUUUUUGUCAUGUUGGGAUCAUAGUUAGUGUCGAAUUUUGUAAAUCUGGAGGAAUUCUAGGCUAUUUAUUACAAAAGCUUUGAACAAUUGGUAAAAGAAAUAAAGGCUUUGAACAAUUCUAGGAUAUUCUAGUCAUGGUGCAAGGUCUGUCACUCAGUACUUUCACUGCGUCACGUAAUGGUGGGCUGUGUGGAUCCAUGCCUUCGUGGAGGAAGCAUUUCAAAUUGACGAGGAAACCCGGAUAAGCUCUGGUAUUGAAAGGCAUGGUAGCUGCCACCUGUGCCAUCAAAACUUGUUCUUUGGAGGUAACCAGAAUAUGUCAAGAGUCUCGAGACAAAGGAGCGUGAGGGUGGAACCGGGGUGGCUGUAUAAAGGGGGUGAUCAAGGGUUCAGUGCAAGCUCCGAGCGAAGCGAGAGUGCUGAUGAGGAUAUUCUGAUAUUCUUUUUCCUGCUCGACCUGGCAACUCGAGUACAGGUUUGAUAGGGAUCCUUUUAUAGUUUUCAUAUUGUAGUAGGUUAAGUGGUACAGAAUAUCUGUCAAUUUCUCUCGAUUUUGUUAGUCUAACAAGCAUUUGCCUUUUUUGGGGGUGCAUUGGUGAGAAGAGUCUAUUAGUGCAGACUUGGUCAAGUUUACUUGAUGUGGCGAUGAUUCCAAAUCAAAUAGAGAUGGACUCCAGCACAGUUAAUAACUUAUGAUGGAACAUGUAAAAAUACACGUCAAAAAUAUCAAACAGGGAUACCUACUUCUGAU
RNAcentral lists this long non-coding RNA (3245 nucleotides) under Prunus dulcis (almond). Its description in RNAcentral is "sRNA ncRNA". Lineage: Eukaryota; Viridiplantae; Streptophyta; Magnoliopsida; Rosales; Rosaceae. The record is from RNAcentral.